AUGGGACGGCCCGCUGGGCUGUUCCCGCCCCUAUGCCCUUUUUUGGGUUUCCGGCCAGAGGCAUGCUGGGAGCGUCACAUGCAAAUUGAGCGUGCACCCAGCGUUCCGCCCUUUCUACGCUGGGCCGGUUAUCGACCCGGCCCAGUGCGCAGGCGCGGGAAAGUUGAACUAAUAAAGUUUGUACGAGUUCAGUGGAGGAGACCGCAAGUUGAGUGGAGGAGGCGGCGGUGGGGCCCCGGACCAGGUGCCUCCAUGGCAGGCUCUGAAGAGCUGGGGCUCCGGGAAGACACGCUGAGGGUCCUAGCUGCCUUCCUUAGGCGUGGUGAGGCUGCCGGGUCUCCUGUUCCAACUCCACCUAGCCCUGCCCAAGAAGAGCCAACAGACUUCCUGAGCCGCCUUCGAAGAUGUCUUCCCUGCUCCCUGGGGCGAGGAGCAGCCCCCUCUGAGUCCCCUCGGCCUUGCUCUCUGCCCAUCCGCCCCUGCUAUGGUUUAGAGCCUGGUAAGAGAUUUCCAUGAUCAUCUAUGAAGCCGGCAGAACACGGGAUAAGGCCCAGCUACUCCAGACUUCUAUGCUUUGGUGGCCCAGCGGCUGGAACAGCUGGUCCAAGAGCAGCUGAAAUCUCCGCCCAGCCCAGAAUUACAGGGUCCCCCAUCGACAGAGAAGGAAGCCAUACUGCGGAGGCUGGUGGCCCUGCUGGAGGAGGAGGCAGAAGUCAUUAACCAGAAGGUGAUGGGCAUCUGUCCCACUCCUUGGCAAGGACAGGAGUUGCGGAAUGGAGGGCAUCCUGGCUGUUUCACCCGUGGACUUGAACUUGCCAUUGGACUGAGCUCUUUCUCAGAAGCUGCUACAAGAUGACACCUCAUGUCCCUGCCCUCUUCGUGUGCUUUUCCAAGUCUUCCUAUUCCACUCAGGGCUGUGGGGUGGUGGUUGCCCUACCUGUUUUUGCCAAAAAUAAAUUGUUUAAAACUUUUCUUAUUAAAAACGUUACAAAGUA
Molecule: unclassified non-coding RNA, 995 nt
Filed under: Homo sapiens (human)
Lineage: Eukaryota; Metazoa; Chordata; Mammalia; Primates; Hominidae
Description: BCL2-like 12 (proline rich), transcript variant 57
Source: RNAcentral